Molecule: small RNA, 209 nt
Filed under: Arabidopsis thaliana (thale cress)
Lineage: Eukaryota; Viridiplantae; Streptophyta; Magnoliopsida; Brassicales; Brassicaceae
Description: ATSL150530
Source: RNAcentral
AUAAGACUUAAUAAUUAUUGUAAUUCAUAACAUAUUAAACAUACAUUAUUUUGAAAUAUUUUUUUAAAAUAGAUGUGCAAAAACAAAAUUGAAUAUAUUAUCAAAUUGUUGAUCGAGUAAUUGAUCAAAACUUUACUCUAUGACAUCGUAAAAUGGAAUACGGGACGAAAAAGCCAUAUCGUUUGAUAGCUUGUGGUAGAAAAAGAAAA